This 30-nucleotide non-coding RNA is filed under the name Mus musculus (house mouse). The record is from RNAcentral. Lineage: Eukaryota; Metazoa; Chordata; Mammalia; Rodentia; Muridae.
UNGGCCGUAAGAAAAUGUAGGACUCCGGGG